GUCCCAGCUACUCGGGAGGCUGAGGUGGGAGGAUCACUUGAGCCUGGGAGGUUGAGGUUGCAGUGAGCCAGGACCAUGCCACUGCACUCCAGCCUGGGUGAGAGGGAGACCUUGUUUCAAAAAUAAAAUGAGGCUGGGCAUGGUGGCUCACGAUUGUAAUCCCAGCAGUUUGGGAGGCCGAGGUGGGCGGAUCACCUGAAGUCAGGAGACCAAGACCAGCCUAGACAAGGCGAAACCCCGUCUCCACUAAAAAUACAAAAAUUAGCAGAGUGUGGUGGCAUAUGCCUGUAAUCCCAGCUACCUGAGAGGCUGAGGCAGGAGAAUCACUUGAACCUGGGAGACGGAGGUUGCAGUGAGCUGAGACUGAGCCACUGCACUCCAGCCUGGGCGACAGAGUGAGAAUCUAUCUCAAAAAAAAGAAAAAAAAAAAUAGGCCAGCCGUGGUGGCUCACACCUGUAAUCCCAGCACUUUGGGAGGCCGAGGUGGGUGGAUCACAAGGUCAGAAGAUUGAGACCAUUCUGGCCAACAUGGUGACACCCCGUCUCUACUAAAAAUAUGAAAAUUAGCCAGGCGUGGUGGUGUGCACUUGUAGUCCCAGCUACUCAGGAGGCUGAGGGCAAAAGAAUCGCUUGAACCCGGGAGGCGGAGGUUGCAGUGAGCCGAGCCGAGAUCAUGCCACUGCACUCCAGCCUGGGUGACAGAGUGAGACUCAGUCUCCAAAAAAAAAAAAAAAAAAAGGUGGUUAAAAAUGGCUGCUCUGGGGACUGGAGGGAGUUGGGAGGAUGAGACACCAUCCUGCAAAUCAGGCCUGGAUGAGAUGGGGCUGCAGGGCUUUCUGACAGGCACAUCUGACCUCAUUCUGCCCCUGCUCACACAGCCUCUGUGGCUCCCUAUUGCCAUCAGGGGAGAGUCCCAGCUCCCCUGCUCCACUGGAUUGAGUAGUGUCUGGCAAGAAUUCAUGUCUGAGAAUUCAUAUUCAUAUUCUGAGAAUUCAUAUUCUGAGAAUUCACCUCAGAAUAUGGGCUUAUUUGGAAAUAGGGUCUUUAUAGACAGACAUGAGGUUAUCAUGGAUUAGGGUGGACCCUAAAUCCGAUGACUGGGCCAGGCACGUGGCUCAUGCCUGUAAUCUCAACACUUUGGGAGGCCGAGGUGGGCGGAUCACCUGAGUUCAGGAGUUCAAGACCAGCCUGGCCAACAUGGUGAAACCCCGUCUCUACUAAAAAUGCAAAAAUUAGCUGGGUGUGGUGGCGGGUGCCUGUAAUCCCAGCUACUUAGGAGGCUGAAGUGGGAGGAUCACUUCAGCCCAGGAGUUGGAGGCUGCAGUAAGCUAUGAUUGUGCCACUGCACUCCAGCCUGGGUGACAGAGUGAGACCCUGCCUCAAAAAAAAAAAAAAAAAAAAAGACUAAUGUGUUUUGUGAUGAUCAUUUUCUGACAUUUGUUUUGUGUCUAAUGUCUACCAUUCUAAGUCCUCAAUGCUAAGGACUCCCAUGGGCCUUGGUAGAGACCUCGGUUCAAGUCCUGCACUUACCCUUCCCUGUCUGACCUUGGCAAGCAGCCCUCUCCCUGGGCCUCAGUUUCCCCACUUUGCGUUGCAAUGCCUCUCUAGUUAUCAAGCUCCUGGAAGUGCCGGUGGGUCCAUGGCUGCUGGGGGACAAGCCCACACAGGG
This 1669-nucleotide long non-coding RNA is filed under the name Homo sapiens (human). Its description in RNAcentral is "HSALNT0396455". The record is from RNAcentral. Lineage: Eukaryota; Metazoa; Chordata; Mammalia; Primates; Hominidae.